UAUUUAGUGGCGAUGGAUUUGAUUUCACCACCGAAUGCUGAAGCCCACAGUUUAACUCUGUGCAAAACAGACGAGAAAAGCAGUUCAUUAUCCCACAACACUAAAAAAAGAGCAAGGCAUUUCAGAUACAGGCGACAUCACUGCUUACAGCCAUUAUGGUUUACGGUUCAUCUCAGAGCACCUGCUCUAAGACAUUUAGCAUAGGUAUCUAUUCUACUCUCAUCUGUUCUUUUCUAAGUGUCUUUUUAGAAAACCUUCCUAAUUCAUGUAAAAUGUUUGGAUGUGCAUCCACUCAUGACAAUUCCAUCAUUAUGCAAAUAAGUCCGUUCAUGAGUUCCUCAGGUGACUCUUCCAGCAUGUAUUAGCUAUAGAAGAUGUACACAAAUGUACAAAAAAUGCACCAAAGCAGACUUGAUUUUUUUUAAUGGCCAUAAGUGUAACUGCAGGGUUUACAGGCUGAGUCUAAGAAAUCAGAGAAACAGUAAAUUCAAACUGUAGAUGCAGAAGUAAAAACGUACUAAAGGUCUAUUGUUUUCAGCAGCCCCUUCUGCAGCUACCUUAAACCUGAAACACUUUUGUGACAUCUAUUUGCAAGAAAUAAUGCAAAUAAUAAUAAUAAUAAUAAUAAUAAUAAUAAUAAUAAUAAUAAAGAAUUUAGGUUUUCGUUUGACUAACCCUUAUACCUAAUAGAGUGGCCAACGAUUGUAGAAAUAUUUCUCUAUGAUCUGUAUAUGAACUAUCUUAAAUCUUAAAGGUUGUGGGAUUUAAUGCUGUAUGUAACUGCAUUACACAGUACACAGGUGUGCCAGCUGCCUCGCGCCAGUUAAUUCCCGGGCACGCGAUCUGAUUUGAAUUUGAAUUUGAAUUUGAAUGUGUCGGUUAGACUCUAACGGUUAAAUACAGUAUCAACGGGUCAGCUGAAAGUGGCGUUUUUAAAUAGCGUAAUAUGACAUUUAAAACCCUAUUCUACAGAUACAAUAACAGUAAGCGAGAUGAAAUUCAGUUUCUUGCGUUAAUUAAUCAAUAUUAACGGUAGGUGUGUCGUUAGAUAACGUUUGCUGGUCGUUCUGUUCAGCUAGCUUUUAGCAUUAUCCUUAACUAGCCUGAAAACUGACUCGCAAAAGUAUUUAUUUGUUCUCAGUUUCAUCAUCAUCAUCGUUACAAGAGGAAACCAUCAGGAAACUUUACUGGAGGUCUUAAGUCCAUCUGCAUGUAAUGAACCCAUUUUCUCUUCUAAGUGAUCAUGGUCACCCUUCAGCACAAGCAGAUCCAUCAGCCACUGAAAUUUGCACUGGUCAAUGUUUCUGCAGGAGAUCCGGAUCCGCACCACGCUAACAGGUGGUUCGCCAUCUGCUGUGGCCGAUACUGUGUGCCACCGCUGGAGUCCUGGAAUUGUGGAUAAGAAGACAGAGGCUCGGACUGCGUGGAUAAUCAUGAUGAUGGUGUUAGUGUGGUGAACUGGAUGCUUUGCAUCACCACUCAGGCUCUUACACAAACAUCAGCUCUGUGGUGGCAGUGACAGCUGUACCGUUAGCCAGAACACCCACCAAACAGUCAGGUAUAAAGUCUACUAGCUCCUCAUCCUGGAGGUCACAUGAUAUGGCACGGCGGAUUUCGGGCCCAAUAUCAUGCAGCGUGCGGAGACCAGCCUGGAACCACGACAACACAGGAGAGCUAAGAACCGGG
Pangasianodon hypophthalmus (striped catfish) is the source of this 1686-nucleotide long non-coding RNA. RefSeq lists it as uncharacterized. The transcript is spliced from 5 exons. NCBI's taxonomy places the organism in Eukaryota, Metazoa, Chordata, Actinopteri, Siluriformes, Pangasiidae. The record is from RefSeq and is a predicted model, not a curated record.